This is a long non-coding RNA of Phalaenopsis equestris, 903 nucleotides long. RefSeq lists it as uncharacterized. The record is from RefSeq and is a predicted model, not a curated record. The transcript has 4 exons. NCBI's taxonomy places the organism in Eukaryota, Viridiplantae, Streptophyta, Magnoliopsida, Asparagales, Orchidaceae.
AUUAGUUGAUGCAACUGCAUGUAUACAUAAAUGAUCAUGCUACAUUUUUCUCAUAUAUGAUCAGUACGAAAUUGGAAUAAUAUAAGCUAAGGGAAUUAUCAAGAGAGAUUGUGAGAUGGAAAAAGUGAAAUCAUGUUUGUUAACCACCUGACUGGUUGAUAUUUCUUUUGACAGUGGAGUUGACCGUUUUAAACGCCAGUUUGCUCAUCUUGAAGAGUAUCAUGCCAGGGAAGAAAGAGCCACUCCAGUUCUACGACAGAACACUUCUUUGCCCAGGGAGAGGGUCUUGCCUAUUAAAGAAGAAAAGGUUGAUGGAGAGAAGGUUCUUGAAAGACAACAUGCUAGCAGAGAUAAUGAAUCGGCGGUCAGUAAGAGCCCUUCCAUGACACAAGCUGAGGGAUCAGAAGUUACUGUGGCUAGUAUUGAAAAUGGGCUAAACAAGCUAAAUCUAAGCGCUCGUAGCUUAUUGAAGAGUGCCAGCAUCAGUGCAUCCCAAUGUAUUAACGUGAAAACAAGGAAAGAUACUUCUGGGCCAUAACGUGUUGAGGAGUUACCUCAAAUGCUUCAAGAAGUACUAUGGUGCAAGCAGGCAUUUCGAAGAUGAAUCUGUUCAAGGCGCACUUUGAAUGCCUUUGAUGAUUUUCUUCAAUAUCAACUGCAAUUCCAGAUUGCAGCCAUGCUUUAAUUCUGAAACGCACGGAAGUUAUCUGAUGUUCUCCCAUCAGUUACUUAAAUUGUAGCUACUUAAUUUUAUUUUUAAUUUUUAACCAUAUUUCAAAACAACCAGAUUUAAGUAAUUUUCCAUACUUUGCGUUGAAGAAACUUUCAUUAAUUUUUGGAGAGUCUCAGUGCAUGUAAUUUUUAGAACCAUUUCUAAUAUUCAAAUGGCAUUACAUUUGGUAA